AUUGAUCCAUCACAGCUAAUAUGAUGGUGUGAUUGAGUGUAAGGUGAAAACCAAAUGAGUCUCACAGUCUUUUGCAAAAUUUUGAGCUAUUAUCAUCUUAGAAUUGAAAAAUAAAACCAUGAUGUUGUGAAGGGUUUCAUGAGCAUUGUUGUAAAGUUUAAGAUAUUGCUUAUUUCUUACACCAAAACAGUGUGAAACAAGUCUUGGUGAGGGUUUUAUUGUUUACUAACGUGUUUGUUCGUUAUGUUUUCUUUUUCUUUAGUUGUUUUAUUGUGUCAAAACUAGUCGGGAACUAUGAGGUUUUCUUGUAACUAACCAUCUAACUAUUGCUUUAAUGACCAUUCUUUCAAUUAUUGAUUGCAGAUGGUACAAAAAAACACCAAAGUGGAUUGAUUUGCCAAUAACAUUCAUGCUUGUGCGGGUGUCUGAAGUAUACCAAACUGACUUCUCACAUAAUCUAAUUGAUUCUCUUGUCUUGGUGGUUGGUAUACACUAGAUCGGAUUCCUCUUUUGCGUCUGAAAAAGCUAGUCUUUGUGAGUAUUGUUUCUCUCUCUCUCUCUCU
RNAcentral lists this long non-coding RNA (563 nucleotides) under Brassica napus (rape). Its description in RNAcentral is "long non-coding RNA (BNAP_LNC005271)". The record is from RNAcentral. Lineage: Eukaryota; Viridiplantae; Streptophyta; Magnoliopsida; Brassicales; Brassicaceae.